Molecule: long non-coding RNA, 233 nt
Filed under: Capsicum annuum
Lineage: Eukaryota; Viridiplantae; Streptophyta; Magnoliopsida; Solanales; Solanaceae
Description: long non-coding RNA (CANN_LNC006834)
Source: RNAcentral
CCAAAUCAGAUAAUUUUCACAGAUAUUAAAUGAUGCCUCUAGAGGGGUAUUUGAGUCAUAUUUACACCCAUAUAUAUAUAUUCUAUAAACACGGAAUUAAGCCCUUAUUUCACCAAAACAUACUCUUUGUCUCAAAAUCCUCUCAAGAACACAUUAGGGUUUUCAACUGAGGAUUCUAGUUCAGGCAAAUUUCUCCAUCAGUCAUCAAGAAUCUUCCAUCUAAGGUAUGCGUA